ACUCCUACGGGAGGCAGCAGUGGGGAAUAUUGCACAAUGGGGAAACCCUGAUGCAGCCAUGCCGCGUGUGUGAAGAAGGCCUUCGGUUGUAAAGCACUUUCAGUAGGGAGGAAGGUAGUGUAGUUAACACCUGCACUAUUUGACGUUACCUACAGAAGAAGCACCGGCUAACUCCGUGCCAGCAGCCGCGGUAAUACGGAGGGGUGCGAGCGUUAAUCGGAAUUACUGGCGUAAAGCGCAUGCAGGUGGUUUGUUAAGUCAGAUGUGAAAGCCCGGGGGCGUCAACCUCGGAAUUGCAUUUGAAACUGGCAGGCUAGAGUCUUGUAGAGGGGGUAGAAUUUCAGGUGUAGCGGUGAAAUGCGUAGAGAUCUGAAGGAAUACCAGUGGCGAAGGCGGCCCCCUGGACAAAGACUGACGCUCAGAUGCGAAAGCGUGGGGAGCAAACAGGAUUAGAUACCCUGGUAGCACAGAG
This 472-nucleotide ribosomal RNA is filed under the name uncultured bacterium. RNAcentral describes it as "bacterial SSU rRNA". It matches the Rfam family "Bacterial small subunit ribosomal RNA", at positions 335 to 799 of the family's 1533-position model. The record is from RNAcentral.